This 253-nucleotide ribosomal RNA is filed under the name uncultured bacterium. Its description in RNAcentral is "partial 16S ribosomal RNA". It matches the Rfam family "Bacterial small subunit ribosomal RNA", at positions 524 to 776 of the family's 1533-position model. The record is from RNAcentral.
UACGAAGGGGGCUAGCGUUGCUCGGAAUCACUGGGCGUAAAGCGCACGUAGGCGGCUUCUUAAGUCAGGGGUGAAAUCCUGGAGCUCAACUCCAGAACUGCCUUUGAUACUGAGAGGCUUGAGUCCGGGAGAGGUGAGUGGAACUGCGAGUGUAGAGGUGAAAUUCGUAGAUAUUCGCAAGAACACCAGUGGCGAAGGCGGCUCACUGGCCCGGUACUGACGCUGAGGCGCGAAAGCUAGGGGAGCGAACGGG